This is a long non-coding RNA of Cavia porcellus (domestic guinea pig), 1960 nucleotides long. RefSeq lists it as uncharacterized. The transcript has 3 exons. Lineage: Eukaryota; Metazoa; Chordata; Mammalia; Rodentia; Caviidae. The record is from RefSeq and is a predicted model, not a curated record.
GACACUCAUUGUCAAUCAAAUUAAUCACUCUGGUUUUAAUUUUUUCAAAAAGCAAAAAGAACAUUUAAUCCCAGGCUUUUUUUUUAAUCUUCCAGGAUUUUCACCUACGUGCUCUGAAGCUGACACAGGACCUAAGUAACAGAAUGCCUGGGGUCUCCAACACCAAGUAGAGUACCAUGAUGGAUUAUCCCUCAUGUGGCUGGGAGCAGAGCUGUACCAGCCACCACAAACUGCUGCCCUUCAGCUAUGCCAUCCUGCCUUGGAGCCAGCAGAGCAUGGACUGAAACUUCCAAAAAUUGUAAGCUGAUUCACUUAUUAAAUUUGGCAAGAAGACUUAGCACUUUGUCUAUCAGGGUGAAGUUCCCUAUUAGCUAUUCUUGGGAAGACAAUUCACAUGUUAAAAUUAAGACUGAACACAUGAACACGAGGUGAAGCACUCCUUCACACCAGACACUGAAUGUUGUCUCACAUGUCCUGUUCUUGACCACAGGAAGCAAGGUAAGGACAGGUGUAUGUGCCAGGGCAAGCCAGGACACCAUGCUAGAAACACUGACUCAAGUCAUUUCCCGAGACAGUGUCUACAAUUCCAUUAUCUUUGGAGGAAAAUACAUUUGACUGCUCAACAUAUUGACUUGCUCAAAUUCUUUACAAAUUUUAAGUUAUGGAAUUUAAAAUUUCCAUUAACUCACCUAAAAACGUAUUUUGUAAAAAAGCUAAGACAGACACAUUGAUAUUAUUGGUCACUAUCACUGAAUGCCAUGACCAAAACCAAAAUACUAAUGUUGCCCAGGUACCAAUAUUCUGAGUUUAAUCUGCACUAGGAGAAAAAUCAAAUCUCUGACUUCUUUAAAUAACAUUCAUGAGAAUUUCUGAUGCAUGGAAACAUUAGAAAAAAUUCUGUUAGGAAAGAAAUGGUGAGGCAUUUUAGACACAUCCCUUAGUACUCUAGCCUUUCUUUUAAAUAGUGCAUAAUUCAGGACAGGUUCAUGCCUCACAGGGAAUCAAAAGACUUUGCCUGGAAAAUUCUUCUCAGGUCAGCAGCUAUUGACACAGAACAGAAAAAUGGAAAAUUUUCCUCAGGAGGAAUUUCCUAAGAUUUAAUUUCAGACAAUCAAUUACAACUAAUAAGAAAGUUACUCUAGUCCUGGGAUGUCAAAUAUGGCAGUCAUUAGUCAUGUGAAAUACUUUAAUUUUAAAUUAAUUAAAACUAAGUCAAAUUAAAAUUUCAGUUCCUCAGUCUCACUAGCCACAUUUCAAAUGUUCAAGAGCAGCAUGUUUCUAGGAGCCAAUGUGUUAUAUACUGCAGAUAGAAAACAGUUCCAUAAUUACAGAAGGUUCUAUUAAGCAUCUCAGAUCCAGUGCAAAACCAACGUUCUCAAGCAACAAAUAUUUCAGACACAAACUGCUUCACCCAGACAGUUUUCAAGUUCACUGCUGAUAGAGAAGAAAUCUCUUCUUUCUCCCAGGUUCUUUACCUUUCAGACCUGAGAAGAGAAGUUUUCUCAGAGUCAAAUGUGGACAUUUUCAGAAGCCAACCACGUGCUAGAAAGCACUGACCAUCCAUUCCUAGAGAUAACACUGGCAAUCCACGCCACCUUCAUGUGUGACCAGUGAUGAUAAAACUGAAAGAGCACCUAAAUCUUAAAAAGAUCACGCUGAAAUGUUAAUGAAUGAGUUCCUCCAAUGAAAAUGGUCCUGUGCCCUCACACCAAAGAAACAAAAUGGGACCAAUCUAAAGACAAAUGGAUGCUUAUUACUAUUUAAAAACUUUUGGGAGUACUAUCAUAAAGCUUUUGUUUUACCCAAAGAAAGUCAAAAUUAACUCAUGUUGUUAGUUAACACAAGCAAAUGCAGCAGUGAAACCUGUCUUAGUAGAUUUGUCUCUAAGGGUAAUUUUACUCAUAAUGUCUAAGCUUGGCCAUUUCAUUUAUUAAAAAGAGAAACGAAUUCUACAUCUUAC